GGAAUAUUGGACAAUGGGCGCAAGCCUGAUCCAGCAACGCCGCGUGGAGGACGAAGGUCUUCGGAUCGUAAACUCCUGUCAGGCGGGACGAAGGCUUCCGGGCGAACAGUCCGGAAGCUUGACGGUACUGCCAGAGGAAGCACCGGCUAACUACGUGCCAGCAGCCGCGGUAAUACGUAGGGUGCGAGCGUUAAUCGGAAUUACUGGGCGUAAAGUGUGCGCAGGCGGCGCUGCAAGUCGAGUGUGAAAUCCCCGAGCUUAACUUGGGAAUUGCGCUCGAAACUACGGCGCUGGAGUAUGGCAGAGGAAGGUGGAAUUCCACGUGUAGCGGUGAAAUGCGUAGAGAUGUGGAGGAACACCGAUGGCGAAGGCAGCCUUCUGGGCCAAUACUGACGCUCAUGCACGAAAGCGUGGGGAGCAAAC
Molecule: ribosomal RNA, 423 nt
Filed under: uncultured bacterium
Lineage: Bacteria
Description: bacterial SSU rRNA
Rfam family: Bacterial small subunit ribosomal RNA
Source: RNAcentral